AUACGGAGGGUCCGAGCGUUAUCCGGAAUCAUUGGGUUUAAAGGGUCCGUAGGCGGGAAUCUAAGUCAGUGGUGAAAUCUUGCAGCUCAACUGUAAAAUUGCCAUUGAUACUGGAUUUCUUGAAUUAGUGUGAAGUGGUUAGAAUGUGUAGUGUAGAGGUGAAAUGCAUAGAUAUUACACAGAAUACCAAUUGCGAAGGCAGAUCACUAACACUAUAUUGACGCUAAGGGACGAAAGCGUGGGGAGCGAACAGGAUUAGAAACCCCAGUAGUCC
Molecule: ribosomal RNA, 274 nt
Filed under: uncultured bacterium
Lineage: Bacteria
Description: partial 16S ribosomal RNA
Rfam family: Bacterial small subunit ribosomal RNA
Source: RNAcentral